RNAcentral lists this ribosomal RNA (1418 nucleotides) under Dendropsophus berthalutzae (Bertha's treefrog). Its description in RNAcentral is "partial 16S ribosomal RNA". It matches the Rfam family "Bacterial large subunit ribosomal RNA", at positions 361 to 2597 of the family's 2925-position model. The record is from RNAcentral. Lineage: Eukaryota; Metazoa; Chordata; Amphibia; Anura; Hylidae.
GCUAAAAAUCUAGCCAUACUUAAUCUUAUGCCCCCUCCCCCCAUAGCAAACUAAAACUAAAACAUUAACCACUCUUAGUAAAGGCGAUUAAAAAAUUAAUUAGAGCUAUAACCUUAGUACCGCAAGGAAAAGAUGAAAUAAAAAUGAAAUAAACUUUAAGCCCAAAAAAGCAGAGCUUUAUACUCGUACCUUUUGCAUCAUGGUUUAACUAGUCUACUCAAGCAAAAAGAAUUAUAGUUUGACCCCCCGAAACUAGACGAGCUACUUCGAGGCAGCUUAAUGAGCGAACCCAUCUCUGUUGCAAAAGAGUGGGAUGACCCCCAAGUAGCGGUGACAGACCUAACGAGCCUAGUGAUAGCUGGUUACUUAACAAAAGGAUUUUAGUCCUGCCUAAAGCAUUAUCAAUUAUACCAAAUAACCUACAUGCUUUUGAGUUAUUCAAAUAAGGUACAGCCUGUUUGAAGCCAGGGUACAACCUCCUCUAAAGGGUAACUUCUGUAUAAACAGAACCAAGUAGGCUCAAAAGCAGCCACCUUUAAAAUAGCGUCAAAGCUUAUUUUUAUAGCAAUUUUAAUACCUCAACAUCUUUUAAACCCUUUAUCUUUAUUAAGUUAAUCUAUAUACUUAUAGAAGCGAUCAUGUUAAAACUAGUAAUAAGAAGAAGACCUUCUCUUAAAUGCAUCUGUACAUCAGAAAGGACAAACCACUGAUAAUUAUAACGCAAUUGAGUAUAAAACAGCAACCACCCAAGAAAAUUCUAUUUUACUUAACGUUAACCUAACACCAGAGCAUUUCAAGAAAGAUUAAAAGAAAAAGAAGGAAUUCGGCAAAUAUUAACCUCGCCUGUUUACCAAAAACAUCGCCUCUCGAUAAACCAUGAGAGGUCCAGCCUGCCCAGUGACCAAGUUUAACGGCCGCGGUAUCCUAACCGUGCGAAGGUAGCGUAAUCACUUGUUCUUUAAAUGAGGACUAGUAUGAAUGGCACCACGAAGGCUAUACUGUCUCCUUUUUCUAAUCAAUGAAACUGAUCUCCCCGUGAAGAAGCGGGGAUAAAAAUAUAAGACGAGAAGACCCUAUGGAGCUUAAAACUAAGUGGCACUAGUUCCUGUAUUAAAACUUUAAGAAUCACUUCAGCUAUUUUGACCACUAGUUUUAGGUUGGGGUGACCGCGGAGCACAAAACAACCUCCGCAUUGAAUGGAGCCACUCCUGAGCAAAAAACUACGACUUUAAGCACCAACAAAUUGACAUUAAUUGACCCAUUAUUUUGAUCAAUGAACCAAGUUACCCUAGGGAUAACAGCGCAAUCCACUUCAAGAGCCCAUAUCGACAAGUGGGUUUACGACCUCGAUGUUGGAUCAGGGUGUCCUAGUGGUGCAGCCGCUACUAACGGUUCGUUUGUUCAACGAUUAAAACCCU